This 74-nucleotide transfer RNA is filed under the name Pseudomonadota bacterium. RNAcentral's name for it is "tRNA-Met". It matches the Rfam family "tRNA". Rfam says of the family: Transfer RNA (tRNA) molecules are approximately 80 nucleotides in length. Their secondary structure includes four short double-helical elements and three loops (D, anti-codon, and T loops). The record is from RNAcentral. RNAcentral also lists the same sequence under 1 other name. Lineage: Bacteria; Pseudomonadati; Pseudomonadota.
GGCGAGAUAGCUCAGUUGGUAAGAGCGCAGGAUUCAUAACCCUGAGGUCGCGGGUUCGACUCCCGCUCUCGCCA